Molecule: ribosomal RNA, 253 nt
Filed under: uncultured bacterium
Lineage: Bacteria
Description: partial 16S ribosomal RNA
Rfam family: Bacterial small subunit ribosomal RNA
Source: RNAcentral
UACGUAGGGCGCAAGCGUUGUCCGGAAUUAUUGGGCGUAAAGAGCUCGUAGGCGGUUUGUCGCGUCUGUCGUGAAAGCUUGGGGCUUAACCCCAAGUCUGCGGUGGAUACGGGCAGACUAGAGGCAGGUAGGGGAGAACGGAAUUCCCGGUGUAGCGGUGAAAUGCGCAGAUAUCGGAAGGAACAUCAGUGGCGAAAGCGACUUCCUGGACCAAUACUGACGCUCAUGUGCGAAAGCGUGGGGAGCAAACAGG